This 506-nucleotide ribosomal RNA is filed under the name uncultured bacterium. RNAcentral describes it as "partial 16S ribosomal RNA". It matches the Rfam family "Bacterial small subunit ribosomal RNA", at positions 30 to 523 of the family's 1533-position model. The record is from RNAcentral.
AUUGAACGCUGGCGGCAGGCCUAACACAUGCAAGUCGAACGGCAGCACUGAAGAGCUUGCUCUUUGGGUGGCGAGUGGCGGACGGGUGAGUAAUGUCUGGGAAACUGCCCGAUGGAGGGGGAUAACUACUGGAAACGGUAGCUAAUACCGCAUAACGUCGCAAGACCAAAGUGGGGGACCGUCGGGCCUCACACCAUCGGAUGUGCCCAGACGGGAUUAGCUAGUAGGUGGGGUAAUGGCUCACCUAGGCGACGAUCCCUAGCUGGUCUGAGAGGAUGACCAGCCACACUGGAACUGAGACACGGUCCAGACUCCUACGGGAGGCAGCAGUGGGGAAUAUUGCACAAUGGGCGCAAGCCUGAUGCAGCCAUGCCGCGUGUAUGAAGAAGGCCUUCGGGUUGUAAAGUACUUUCAGCGGGGAGGAAGGCGGUGAGGUUAAUAACCUUGCCGAUUGACGUUACCCGCAGAAGAAGCACCGGCUAACUCCGUGCCAGCCGCCGCCGUAA